UCACUCAUGUUUAUAUCAACAAGAAAUAACAGUUCUGACUUAACAACUCUUAUCUGUUCAUUUUUUUACUUGAACUAGUACAUCUCUGUACCAAACAAAGAACAUCCUAAAUGGCUCAUGCUAGCAGCUAAUGCUAGCAGCUACUACCGCUUCGUAUUCUGUUAAUAGUCUGUCAUUCGGAUGAGGACUCUCAAGUGACUUUUAAGAUCUGUUGUGUUAAAACAACUAAAACUGUUGUGGGAUCAUUGCAGCGCAUAUUUCAUAAACAUUGUUGUGUUAUCCUCCUCUGAGGCACUAGUCAAGUGUUUACUCUGCAUUGUGGUCUCAGUGCAGCAGACACACUUCUUCUCCGGGGCUUAAUGAUGGGCCACCUACCACAACGCCACCUACUGUUUUUGUAGCUGUAGUCUCGUGAGAGACAAAAACCUCCAUUAUUGGUGGAUUUCAUACACUAACAUUUUAAUAUCGGAUUGACAGAAUUUUAUAAUUUAACGGUACUGAUAAUUAUCGUGCUUCCCUAAUUGAAACCUCUUUUAAUACAAAAACAACAAAUACAAAAGUCCUAGGUUGGAGGCACUCAAUACUGGGUAAAAUUUUGUUUUAAUAGCAGAAAACUGCAGGUAAAUGCCUGCACAGAAUUGUGCACAAAAUUGCACAAUCACAUUGGCAAUGACUCAUCAGCAAACUAUUGCAAAUAUAUUUGUACAAUUAAGACUGGUUUAACCCUUUCACCCUGGGCAGCUUUUGGUUGAUUGUGAAUGAAAUUUUAAUUCUUUUAAAGCUUCAGUGUUUUAAAUACUAUCAACUAUUAAAAUAACAGAGACUCAACCUGUUUAAAACAUGUGAAAUCAAAAUAAACUGAAGUAAGAAGGAACAUUUUUGACAACCUUGCUAAAAUGUGAACCCCAACUUGAACCCUGCCUUCAUAAAAUUGCCUUCUACUUAAAGAAAUCCUGUAUAUAAUGCCUACAGCAGUAAACAGAGAUGCCAGAAAGCUGUUGGGCCUACAAAGGGAAAAGCAACAUGUGAAGGAUGUCAGAGUUCUAAACUGACUCAGGCAAAUUCCUGAACAGUGUUGAAAUUGCACAGUCGCAAUGGAAAUGAUUCAUUAUCAAAAUAUUGCCAACAUCUAUGAAAUUCAGACAGACUAUUUUACUCUGGGCAGCGUUUGGUUGAAUGUGACUAGAAUUGUACUUUUUAAAAAGCUUCAGUGUUUUAAAUACUAUCAACCAUUAAAAUAACUCUGGUUUAAGAUAUGUGCAAUCGAAAUAAGCUGAAGCAAAGCAGCAACAUUUCUGACAACCUUACUAAAAAAAGUAAAUCCAAGCUUGAACCCUGCCUUCAUGAAAUUCACUUUAAAAAAUCCUUUAUAUAAUGCCAGGAGAUGCCAGAAAGUUGUUGUGGCUACAAAAGGAUUUUUGAAAAGCAAAAUGUGAAGGAUGUCAGUGUUUUAAACUGAUAUACACCCAAAUAUAGGGGCUAUGUUCCUCAUUGCUUUUAGAUACAUUAUACUAGCUCAAUCAGUCUUCCUUUGUGCAGUGAAAGGCCUUGGUUUUGAAAAACAUCAUUACCCGCUCACCCAUCUCCUCAUUUCCCCAUAAUUUCCCAGAGAUCCUGAUCCAAUGAUGCCCCCUCCCUGGCAAACCCGCCCUGAAACCGCCCACCCCCAAGUUGGAAUUAAGAAUUUAUUUUAACCAGCGAGCAGCUUCUGUCGACACAUGUUGGCAGGCCUGAUCAAAGAGCACCCGCCAUAUAUAGGUCACACUACAUUCUAAUGCCACAUGUGCCUCCAAGUGUAUCCUCCUCUGUGUGGCUGGGAUUUGGGGCUCUCCACUUAGACCGUCACAUCCACUGAUCCCCCAUCAUUAAAGAGUGUGUGAUCCACCGACGAGCCUAGAUUGCUGGAAUGCAUGACCCUGAGAAUAAGGCUGAGUCCUGGGAGAGUCCACUAGAAGCAUCACCAUCUUCAGUCUCGCUCUGCGUUGUGUGUCUCCCUGGUUGGAUGCCACCCACACCGGGCAUGAGUGAG
Long non-coding RNA from Cheilinus undulatus (humphead wrasse), 2029 nucleotides. RefSeq lists it as uncharacterized. The record is from RefSeq and is a predicted model, not a curated record. The transcript has 3 exons. NCBI's taxonomy places the organism in Eukaryota, Metazoa, Chordata, Actinopteri, Labriformes, Labridae.